AUAAGCGGAGGAAAAGAAACCAACAGGGAUUGCCUCAGUAACGGCGAGUGAAGCGGCAAAAGCUCAAAUUUGAAAUCCCCCGGGAAUUGUAAUUUGAAGGACCUAUUAAAACCCUGAGAGAGCCCAAAGUCCAUUGGAAAAUGGCGCCAUAGAAGGUGAUAGCAAUGUUAGGACCUCUCUCAGCAUACUUUUUAGGCCCAAAGAGUCGAGUUGUUUGGGAAUGCAGCUCUAAGUGGGUGGUAAAUUCCAUCUAAAGCUAAAUAUUGGCGAGAGACCGAUAGCGAACAAGUACAGUGAUGGAAAGAUGAAAAGCACUUUGAAAAGAGAGUGAAAAAGUACGUGAAAUUGUUGAAAGGGAAGGGCUUGCAAGCAGACACAACCUCGGUUGGGCCAGCAUCGGGGCGGGGGGAAACAAAAAAGGUGUGGAAUGUGGCUCUUACGAGUGUUAUAGCCCCACCCAAUAUUUCCAUCCCAUCCCGAGGCCUGCGAUUCUUCAAGGAUGCUGGCGUAAUGGUUGCAAGUCGCCCGUCUUGAAACACGGACCACCACGGGGGGGUUU
RNAcentral lists this ribosomal RNA (559 nucleotides) under Metschnikowia reukaufii. Its description in RNAcentral is "eukaryotic LSU rRNA". It matches the Rfam family "Eukaryotic large subunit ribosomal RNA", at positions 46 to 664 of the family's 3401-position model. The record is from RNAcentral. Lineage: Eukaryota; Fungi; Ascomycota; Pichiomycetes; Serinales; Metschnikowiaceae.